GGGUUGUGAGGUUAAGCGACUAAGCGUACACGGUGGAUGCCCUGGCAGUCAGAGGCGAUGAAGGACGUGCUAAUCUGCGAUAAGCGUCGGUAAGGUGAUAUGAACCGUUAUAACCGGCGAUUUCCGAAUGGGGAAACCCAGUGUGAUUCGUCACACUAUCAUUACGUGAAUACAUAGCGUAAUGAAGCGAACCGGGGGAACUGAAACAUCUAAGUACCCCGAGGAAAAGAAAUCAACCGAGAUUCCCCCAGUAGCGGCGAGCGAACGGGGAGCAGCCCAGAGUCUGAAUCAGCUUGUGUGUUAGUGGAACGGUCUGGAAAGUCCGACGGUACAGGGUGAUAGUCCCGUACACCAAAAUGCACAGGUUGUGAACUCGAAGAGUAGGGCGGGACACGUGGUAUCCUGUCUGAAUAUGGGGGGACCAUCCUCCAAGGCUAAAUACUCCUGACUGACCGAUAGUGAACCAGUACCGUGAGGGAAAGGCGAAAAGAACCCCGGCGAGGGGAGUGAAAAAGAACCUGAAACCGUGUACGUACAAGCAGUGGGAGCACCCUUUGGGGUGUGACUGCGUACCUUUUGUAUAAUGGGUCAGCGACUUAUAUUCUGUAGCAAGGUUAACCGUAUAGGGGAGCCGAAGGGAAACCGAGUCUUAACUGGGCGUUAAGUUGCAGGGUAUAGACCCGAAACCCGGUGAUCUAGCCAUGGGCAGGUUGAAGGUUGGGUAACACUAACUGGAGGACCGAACCGACUAAUGUUGAAAAAUUAGCGGAUGACUUGUGGCUGGGGGUGAAAGGCCAAUCAAACCGGGAGAUAGCUGGUUCUCCCCGAAAGCUAUUUAGGUAGCGCCUCGUGAACUCAUCUUCGGGGGUAGAGCACUGUUUCGGCUAGGGGGUCAUCCCGACUUACCAACCCGAUGCAAACUGCGAAUACCGAAGAAUGUUAUCACGGGAGACACACGGCGGGUGCUAACGUCCGUCGUGAAGAGGGAAACAACCCAGACCGCCAGCUAAGGUCCCAAAGUCAUGGUUAAGUGGGAAACGAUGUGGGAAGGCACAGACAGCCAGGAUGUUGGCUUAGAAGCAGCCAUCAUUUAAAGAAAGCGUAAUAGCUCACUGGUCGAGUCGGCCUGCGCGGAAGAUGUAACGGGGCUAAACCAUGCACCGAAGCUGCGGCAGCGACACUAUGUGUUGUUGGGUAGGGGAGCGUUCUGUAAGCCGUUGAAGGUGUACUGUGAGGUAUGCUGGAGGUAUCAGAAGUGCGAAUGCUGACAUAAGUAACGAUAAUGCGGGUGAAAAACCCGCACGCCGGAAGACCAAGGGUUCCUGUCCAACGUUAAUCGGGGCAGGGUGAGUCGACCCCUAAGGCGAGGCCGAAAGGCGUAGUCGAUGGGAAACAGGUUAAUAUUCCUGUACUUGGUGUUACUGCGAAGGGGGGACGGAGAAGGCUAUGUUAGCCGGGCGACGGUUGUCCCGGUUUAAGCAUGUAGGCGGAGGUUCCAGGUAAAUCCGGUACCUUUUUAACGCUGAGGUGUGAUGACGAGGCACUACGGUGCUGAAGUAACAAAUGCCCUGCUUCCAGGAAAAGCCUCUAAGCAUCAGGUAACACGAAAUCGUACCCCAAACCGACACAGGUGGUCAGGUAGAGAAUACCAAGGCGCUUGAGAGAACUCGGGUGAAGGAACUAGGCAAAAUGGUGCCGUAACUUCGGGAGAAGGCACGCUGAUAUGUAGGUGAAGCGGUUUACCCGUGGAGCUGAAAUCAGUCGAAGAUACCAGCUGGCUGCAACUGUUUAUUAAAAACACAGCACUGUGCAAACACGAAAGUGGACGUAUACGGUGUGACGCCUGCCCGGUGCCGGAAGGUUAAUUGAUGGGGUUAUCCGUAAGGAGAAGCUCUUGAUCGAAGCCCCGGUAAACGGCGGCCGUAACUAUAACGGUCCUAAGGUAGCGAAAUUCCUUGUCGGGUAAGUUCCGACCUGCACGAAUGGCGUAAUGAUGGCCAGGCUGUCUCCACCCGAGACUCAGUGAAAUUGAACUCGCUGUGAAGAUGCAGUGUACCCGCGGCAAGACGGAAAGACCCCGUGAACCUUUACUAUAGCUUGACACUGAACACUGGUCCUUGAUGUGUAGGAUAGGUGGGAGGCUUUGAAGUGUGGACGCCAGUCUGCAUGGAGCCAUCCUUGAAAUACCACCCUUUAAUGGCUGGUGUUCUAACGUGGACCCGUGAUCCGGGUUGCGGACAGUGUCUGGUGGGUAGUUUGACUGGGGCGGUCUCCUCCUAAAGAGUAACGGAGGAGCACGAAGGUUAGCUAAUCCUGGUCGGACAUCAGGAGGUUAGUGCAAAGGCAUAAGCUAGCUUGACUGCGAGAGUGACGGCUCGAGCAGGUGCGAAAGCAGGUCUUAGUGAUCCGGUGGUUCUGAAUGGAAGGGCCAUCGCUCAACGGAUAAAAGGUACUCCGGGGAUAACAGGCUGAUACCGCCCAAGAGUUCAUAUCGACGGCGGUGUUUGGCACCUCGAUGUCGGCUCAUCACAUCCUGGGGCUGAAGUAGGUCCCAAGGGUAUGGCUGUUCGCCAUUUAAAGUGGUACGCGAGCUGGGUUUAGAACGUCGUGAGACAGUUCGGUCCCUAUCUGCCGUGGGCGCUGGAGAAUUGAGGGGGGCUGCUCCUAGUACGAGAGGACCGGAGUGGACGCAUCACUGGUGUUCGGGUUGUCAUGCCAAUGGCAUUGCCCGGUAGCUAAAUGCGGAAGAGAUAAGUGCUGAAAGCAUCUAAGCACGAAACUUGCCCCGAGAUGAGUUCUCCCUGAGACUUUAAGUCUCCUGAAGGAACGUUGAAGACGACGACGUUGAUAGGUCGGGUGUGUAAGCGUAGCGAUACGUUGAGCUAACCGAUACUAAUGAACCGUGAGGCUUAACCUUACAACGCCGAAG
Molecule: ribosomal RNA, 2929 nt
Filed under: Citrobacter freundii
Lineage: Bacteria; Pseudomonadati; Pseudomonadota; Gammaproteobacteria; Enterobacterales; Enterobacteriaceae
Also listed under: 1 other name
Description: bacterial LSU rRNA
Rfam family: Bacterial large subunit ribosomal RNA
Source: RNAcentral